GCCUUCGGGCAUAUGAUAAACUUGGAACGAUACAGAGAAGAUUAGCAUGGCCCCUGCGCAAGGAUGACACGCUUCGUUCGAGAAAUGGUUCCACAAUUUU
This is a small nuclear RNA of Helicosporidium sp. ATCC 50920, 100 nucleotides long. NCBI's taxonomy places the organism in Eukaryota, Viridiplantae, Chlorophyta, Trebouxiophyceae, Chlorellales, Chlorellaceae. The record is from Rfam.